GGCUAAAUGAGGACAAAGCUGUCUCUUACGGCCUAGCCAAUGAAAUUGAUCCUCCAGUACAAAAGCUGGAAUAAACUCAUAAGACGAGAAGACCCUGUGGAGCUUUAAAACCAAGAUCAUUAAACUAUGCUCCUUGGAUUUUUAGUUGGGGCGACUUUGGAGCAAAAAAAACCCUCCAAAACAUAAAUUUAAUUAUUUAGACCAACACACCAAGAAAACUAUAUUAGACCCAGCAGUAUUUUUUACUGUCUGACCAAUGAACCAAGUUACCCCAGGGAUAACAGCGCUAUCCUCUUCUAGAGUCCCUAUCGACAAGAGGGUUUACGACCUCGAUGUUGGAUCAGGACACCCCUAUAGUGCAGCCGCUAUAAAAGGUUCGUUUGUUCAACGAUUAAAGUCCUACGUGAUCUGAGUUCAGACCGGA
This 424-nucleotide ribosomal RNA is filed under the name Podarcis tauricus tauricus. RNAcentral's name for it is "partial 16S ribosomal RNA". It matches the Rfam family "Bacterial large subunit ribosomal RNA", at positions 1998 to 2620 of the family's 2925-position model. The record is from RNAcentral. Lineage: Eukaryota; Metazoa; Chordata; Lepidosauria; Squamata; Lacertidae.